Molecule: ribosomal RNA, 554 nt
Filed under: Xenophora pallidula
Lineage: Eukaryota; Metazoa; Mollusca; Gastropoda; Littorinimorpha; Xenophoridae
Description: partial 12S ribosomal RNA
Rfam family: Bacterial small subunit ribosomal RNA
Source: RNAcentral
CAAAUGUUCAAGUUAUAUAUUUAGGUUAAAAGGUGGUUAAAUUUAAUUUUGAAACCAUAAAAUUUUAUAUAUAAAAGUAAAAUUUGAAUAUAUAAAUAAACUCUUUUUAUGGUUAACAUAUUGAAUCCGCGAAAGUUUUGAGGGAAACUGGGAUUAGAUACCCCAUUAUUCUUAACAGUAAAAUUUAUAUUGUAAUAUUUACCUGAGGACUAUGAAUGAUUUACUAAAUUUAAAACUCAAAGGGCUUGGCGGUGUUCUAGACUUUUUAGGGGAACCUGUCUCGUAAUCGACAAUCCGCGUUAAACCUAACCUUAGUUUGUAAUAUCAGUAUGUAUACCGUCGUCGGCAGGUAACUUUUAAGAAAAGAAUAGUUAGCAAAUUAAUAAUAGUAUAUUAGGACGUCAGAUCAAGGUGCAGCUAAUACUAGGGUGAGGAUGGGUUACAAUUAACAAUUAUAACUCGAGUAAAAAGAUGAAAUCUUUUUUGAAGGAGGACUUAAUAUUAAGGUAAAAGUAGAUAAAUUUAUUGAAUAUAGCUCUGGAACGUGCACACAU